UAGGGGGUAGUGUAGCGGGAGCACCAGGAGUUUUGAUCUCCUGAGGGUGGGUUCGACCCCCACCCCUCUAA
RNAcentral lists this transfer RNA (71 nucleotides) under Diplophos taenia (Pacific portholefish). RNAcentral describes it as "tRNA-Gln". It matches the Rfam family "tRNA". From Rfam's summary of the family: Transfer RNA (tRNA) molecules are approximately 80 nucleotides in length. Lineage: Eukaryota; Metazoa; Chordata; Actinopteri; Stomiiformes; Diplophidae. The record is from RNAcentral.